Epinephelus moara (kelp grouper) is the source of this 1902-nucleotide RNA transcript. It is a transcript of the gene named myeloid cell surface antigen CD33-like, with no coding region annotated. The record is from RefSeq and is a predicted model, not a curated record. The transcript has 11 exons. NCBI's taxonomy places the organism in Eukaryota, Metazoa, Chordata, Actinopteri, Perciformes, Serranidae.
ACUAACUCCACUGACACUGCCUCUACAAAAGCAACCUCCAGGGUAGCAGAUACAAACAGCCGUGAUCUGCCAGAUAGCAAAAUCAGUGUUUUACACCAACGACACCUCAGAGAACUAUAUGGACCAAAACAGCAAGAUGAUGAUAUUCUGCCUGUUUCUGGCAGCUCUCAGCAGCCCUGUGUUCGCUGGAGAAUGGAAGGCGAAUGUUGUAAAAAGUCUCGACACUCUGGUCAGUUCCUGCGUUGUGGUGCCGUGUUCAUUCACCCAUCCUAAAGGAAACCUGCCCACCUCCAGACUCAGAGGGAUCUGGCAUCGUUCAAAUGAUCGAAAUCAACGCAUCUAUUUCGAGGAUCAAACGCAGGUUUUGGAAAACUUCAGGGGCCGCACACGGUUGUUGGGACAUCUGGGUCAGAGCAACUGCACCUUAGAAAUUAUGGACGUUAAAGAUCAUGACAAUGGCCCUUACUGCUUCCGGAUAGAACAGGCACUGACAGAGACAAAAACCGACGACAAGUUCUCCUUUGUGGAGGAUUGUGUCAAGUUCACAAUGCUCCCUGUUCCUCUAAAGCCUGCCCUGACUCACCCAAAGACAGCCACUCAAGAUCUUCCCUACACUGUCACCUGCUCGGUCACCCAUACCUGCCCCUCCCAUGUGCCUAAACUCACAUGGAGUAAGGCCGCUCCAGAUGCGGUGAAUGAGGUCCACAGAGAAAUUCACCCUGGCAACUGGGAGGCACAGUCCAUCCUGACCUUCAUUCCCGGGGAGAAGGACGACCACACCGAGAUCAAAUGCACAGCACAAUUUAAUGGAGGGAAGACGUCCUUUACAACACUGACACUCUAUGUAAAACGUACAGAAAACUACAACCACAUCAUCAUUCCCACAGUGGCGGCGAUUGGCACAGCUGUGAUCUUUGCAGUCUUCUGCAUUCUCAUGGCGAAGAAAUACAAGACACGUAUUGCAGAGCUCCAAAAUCAAGAAGGCAGUGUGUGGAACCAGAUUUCCAGACUGUCUCGCAGGAGCAGAAUCUCAAGGGGCGGACUGGCCAUCUGGAGGUUCUGGAGAAUCACAGAACGGCCGGUACUUCAAGACGGCCGGCGGCCGCCACGCAGUCAUCACCGUUUUUUUUUUCUUUUUCCUUUUUCUCCCUGAUAAUCUACUGUUCCACGUCCAGUCCGCUAGGUGGCAGCCUUUAAAUUGGAUGCCAGCCAGCCAAUAGAUAUCUAUGGCCACCAAUCAAAUUGAACAAGAAGGAAGCGCAUACGUCACGCAAAUCGAGCAGCCGUGUGCAGCAGGCAGUCACCUGCAUUGUAUUGUUCAGCAGAGAGACAUCCGGAGUGUGUCGUUUAUUUCUCAACAAUCAAAGAAAAGUGACCAGCAGCCUCCGUCAUCAUCAUCAGUCUGCUCCAGUGUCUUUUUUUAUGCUUUUCUAAGAGUCUUUUUAAAGUUUCUUUAUAAUAAUACAGCAAGUCAAGGGGCAAACAUUUGCUGGUGGGUUUAAUUUCUUAACUUGCGUUCAUGUUAAUCACAUAUCAGCUUCAGAGAAAUGGUGUUACUGUAAUAGCGACUUUUAAAAAAUCAGAAAACACACACACAAAAACAAGAUAUAAAAAUUUGUUGACAAAAAGCUUUACCAGUCUGGUUCCCUGGAAAGCAACAUGCCACUUUUUAUUCGUUAAACUCACACUCUGCAUACUGAAAACUUCCCCACCCACUGGUUUGUGAUAUAGACACUGCGUUUGGGUUUCUCAGUUGAUCAUUAGAGCCACGGUGACACAGUUUGCUGUCUAGCACCAAAUCUUAAAGCAUGCUACUAACACCCAGCACGUCCUGUUUUCUGAACAGAUGUAUCAGUAAUGUAAACAUUAACUCUUUGUAUAUUAAAUUUAGUUUUGCGCUUA